This 263-nucleotide ribosomal RNA is filed under the name uncultured bacterium. Its description in RNAcentral is "partial 16S ribosomal RNA". It matches the Rfam family "Bacterial small subunit ribosomal RNA", at positions 524 to 784 of the family's 1533-position model. The record is from RNAcentral.
UACGUAGGUGGCAAGCGUUGUCCGGAAUUAUUGGGCGUAAAGCGCGCGCAGGCGGUCUCUUAAGUCUGAUGUGAAAGCCCACGGCUCAACCGUGGAGGGUCAUUGGAAACUGGGGGACUUGAGUACAGAAGAGGAAAGCGGAAUUCCACGUGUAGCGGUGAAAUGCGUAGAGAUGUGGAGGAACACCAGUGGCGAAGGCGGCUUUCUGGUCUGUAACUGACGCUGAGGCGCGAAAGCGUGGGGAGCAAACUGAUGAUAACGAA